This 509-nucleotide ribosomal RNA is filed under the name Acinetobacter sp. DBrez 4.1. RNAcentral describes it as "bacterial SSU rRNA". It matches the Rfam family "Bacterial small subunit ribosomal RNA", at positions 383 to 883 of the family's 1533-position model. The record is from RNAcentral. Lineage: Bacteria; Pseudomonadati; Pseudomonadota; Gammaproteobacteria; Moraxellales; Moraxellaceae.
CUGAUCCAGCCAUGCUGCGUGUGUGAAGACGUCCUUUUGGUUGUAAAGCACUUUAAGAGAGGAGGAGGCUAGUGAGAUUAAUACUCUUGGAUAGUGGACGUUACUCGCAGAAUAAGCACCGGCUAACUCUGUGCCAGCAGCCGCGGUAAUACAGAGGGUGCGAGCGUUAAUCGGAUUUACUGGGCGUAAAGCGUGCGUAGGCGGCUUUUUAAGUCGGAUGUGAAAUCCCUGAGCUUAACUUAGGAAUUGCAUUCGAUACUGGGAAGCUAGAGUAUGGGAGAGGAUGGUAGAAUUCCAGGUGUAGCGGUGAAAUGCGUAGAGAUCUGGAGGAAUACCGAUGGCGAAGGCAGCCAUCUGGCCUAAUACUGACGCUGAGGUACGAAAGCAUGGGGAGCAAACAGGAUUAGAUACCCUGGUAGUCCAUGCCGUAAACGAUGUCUACUAGCCGUUGGGGCCUUUGAGGCUUUAGUGGCGCAGCUAACGCGAUAAGUAGACCGCCUGGGGAGUAC